RNAcentral lists this ribosomal RNA (492 nucleotides) under uncultured bacterium. RNAcentral's name for it is "partial 16S ribosomal RNA". It matches the Rfam family "Bacterial small subunit ribosomal RNA", at positions 29 to 507 of the family's 1533-position model. The record is from RNAcentral.
AGUGAACGCUGGCGGUAGGCCUAACACAUGCAAGUCGAACGGCAGCACAGUAAGAGCUUGCUCUUACGGGUGGCGAGUGGCGGACGGGUGAGGAAUACAUCGGAAUCUACUUUUUCGUGGGGGAUAACGUAGGGAAACUUACGCUAAUACCGCAUACGACCUACGGGUGAAAGCAGGGGAUCUUCGGACCUUGCGCGAUUGAAUGAGCCGAUGUCGGAUUAGCUAGUUGGCGGGGUAAAGGCCCACCAAGGCGUCGAUCCGUAGCUGGUCUGAGAGGAUGAUCAGCCACACUGGAACUGAGACACGGUCCAGACUCCUACGGGAGGCAGCAGUGGGGAAUAUUGGACAAUGGGCGCAAGCCUGAUCCAGCCAUACCGCGUGGGUGAAGAAGGCCUUCGGGUUGUAGAGCCCUUUUGUUGGGAAAGAAAAGCAGCAGGUUAAUACCCCGCUGUUCUGACGGUACCCAAAGAAUAAGCACCGGCUAACUUCGUG